AGAGAGAGAGAGGCGACUUCAGAGAGAUACAGAGAGAGAGAGAGAGAGCGAUCGACACUUGGUGGUUCGAUCUGGAUCGAUUCUUCGUCAUUUUGAUCUUGAAAAGCUGGUUCUGUAUUUGAUUUGAGCGUUUAUCUUAGUUAUUGUUCGAAUCUCUGUAAUUUAAAUCGAUCUAGGGCUCGUUCUUCUUCGUGUUUGGGUGCGGCAUGGCUCAAAGUAAGGGAUUUGUUGAAUUCACCGAAGAUCUGUGUAGUUUCAUGGCUAAAAAGUAACGAUCUGGAAUGUAUUUACGUUGAUGUUUGUAAAUUCAAUUUCUUCUUCACUCGAUUUGGUUGAAAUCUAGCAUUUUUUGCUUUUGCCUUUUGUGUUUUGCUUCUUUCUUCUAAUUUUCGUUCUCUUCAUCUUUAUGGUCCAUGCAUUGGGAUGGAGUUCUUGAUCACCAGCAAAUGGAAAGAAUGGAGUGGUGAUAGAGAGAUGUUGCUGCCGAUCGAGAGUUGCAUCCAACAGCCUCGGUAUCACAGAACACUAGUUCAGGGACUUGAAGCGUGGUGCUAUGUCCUUCAUCAACAGCUCAGCCUUAUAAAUCUCUGCUUCAAGUAGACCAAUUUCAAGCUCAUUUGAUCUCUGCUUCAGUCUAUACACCACCAUUGAAGAGCUUAAUCGAGUUUGGCCAGGUCAAACUCAUCCAAAAGGCAUACAUGGCACUUAAUGAUAUAGAUGCUGCUGUCGAAAGUUUCAAGAAGGCAUUGGAAUUGGAGCCAAAUGAUGCUGGAAUAAAAAAGGAGCUGGCUGCUGCAAAGAAGG
Camellia sinensis is the source of this 804-nucleotide non-coding RNA. The record is from RefSeq and is a predicted model, not a curated record. Lineage: Eukaryota; Viridiplantae; Streptophyta; Magnoliopsida; Ericales; Theaceae.